RNAcentral lists this ribosomal RNA (902 nucleotides) under Neobacillus drentensis. RNAcentral's name for it is "bacterial SSU rRNA". It matches the Rfam family "Bacterial small subunit ribosomal RNA", at positions 37 to 923 of the family's 1533-position model. The record is from RNAcentral. Lineage: Bacteria; Bacillati; Bacillota; Bacilli; Caryophanales; Bacillaceae.
UUGAUGCGCGUGCUAUAAUGCAGUCGAGCGAAUCAAUGAGAGCUUGCUUCUGUUGAUUAGCGGCGGACGGGUGAGUAACACGUGGGCAACCUGCCUGUAAGACUGGGAUAACUUCGGGAAACCGGAGCUAAUACCGGAUAAUUCUUUUCCUCUCAUGAGGGAAAGCUGAAAGACGGUUUACGCUGUCACUUACAGAUGGGCCCGCGGCGCAUUAGCUAGUUGGUGAGGUAACGGCUCACCAAGGCGACGAUGCGUAGCCGACCUGAGAGGGUGAUCGGCCACACUGGGACUGAGACACGGCCCAGACUCCUACGGGAGGCAGCAGUAGGGAAUCUUCCACAAUGGACGAAAGUCUGAUGGAGCAACGCCGCGUGAGCGAUGAAGGCCUUCGGGUCGUAAAGCUCUGUUGUUAGGGAAGAACAAGUACCGGAGUAACUGCCGGUACCUUGACGGUACCUAACCAGAAAGCCACGGCUAACUACGUGCCAGCAGCCGCGGUAAUACGUAGGUGGCAAGCGUUGUCCGGAAUUAUUGGGCGUAAAGCGCGCGCAGGCGGUCCUUUAAGUCUGAUGUGAAAGCCCACGGCUCAACCGUGGAGGGUCAUUGGAAACUGGGGGACUUGAGUGCAGAAGAGGAAAGCGGAAUUCCACGUGUAGCGGUGAAAUGCGUAGAGAUGUGGAGGAACACCAGUGGCGAAGGCGGCUUUCUGGUCUGUAACUGACGCUGAGGCGCGAAAGCGUGGGGAGCAAACAGGAUUAGAUACCCUGGUAGUCCACGCCGUAAACGAUGAGUGCUAAGUGUUAGGGGUUUCCGCCCCUUAGUGCUGCAGCUAACGCAUUAAGCACUCCGCCUGGGGAGUACGGCCGCAAGGCUGAAACUCAGAGAAAAGUUAGCCGGACUUA